RNAcentral lists this ribosomal RNA (474 nucleotides) under Streptococcus sanguinis. Its description in RNAcentral is "bacterial SSU rRNA". It matches the Rfam family "Bacterial small subunit ribosomal RNA", at positions 28 to 485 of the family's 1533-position model. The record is from RNAcentral. Lineage: Bacteria; Bacillati; Bacillota; Bacilli; Lactobacillales; Streptococcaceae.
GACGAACGCUGGCGGCGUGCCUAAUACAUGCAAGUAGAACGCUGAAGAGAGGAGCUUGCUCUUCUUGGAUGAGUUGCGAACGGGUGAGUAACGCGUAGGUAACCUGCCUGGUAGCGGGGGAUAACUAUUGGAAACGAUAGCUAAUACCGCAUAAAAUUGAUUAUUGCAUGAUAAUUAAUUGAAAGAUGCAAUUGCAUCACUACCAGAUGGACCUGCGUUGUAUUAGCUAGUUGGUGAGGUAACGGCUCACCAAGGCGACGAUACAUAGCCGACCUGAGAGGGUGAUCGGCCACACUGGGACUGAGACACGGCCCAGACUCCUACGGGAGGCAGCAGUAGGGAAUCUUCGGCAAUGGGGGGAACCCUGACCGAGCAACGCCGCGUGAGUGAAGAAGGUUUUCGGAUCGUAAAGCUCUGUUGUAAGAGAAGAACGGGUGUGAGAGUGGAAAAGUUCACACUGUGAUUGUUCUACCA